Molecule: ribosomal RNA, 253 nt
Filed under: uncultured bacterium
Lineage: Bacteria
Description: partial 16S ribosomal RNA
Rfam family: Bacterial small subunit ribosomal RNA
Source: RNAcentral
UACGUAGGGUGCGAGCGUUAAUCGGAAUUACUGGGCGUAAAGCGUGCGCAGGCGGUUCGUUGUGUCGGCGGUGAAAGCCCCGGGCUUAACCUGGGAACGGCCGUUGAAACUGGCGGACUGGAGUGUGGCAGAGGGGGGUGGAAUUCCGCGUGUAGCAGUGAAAUGCGUAGAGAUGCGGAGGAACACCGAUGGCGAAGGCAGCCCCCUGGGCUAACACUGACGCUCAGGCACGAAAGCGUGGGGAGCAAACAGG